Non-coding RNA from Paramuricea clavata, 483 nucleotides. The record is from the annotation of a GenBank genome assembly. Lineage: Eukaryota; Metazoa; Cnidaria; Anthozoa; Malacalcyonacea; Plexauridae.
UGGCUGUGUAUAAAUAUUUUAUUAGCAGACUAGUAGUGCAAAUUCAUAUCUUUAAUAUUAAAUUAAGCUCUACUCCGAGUAGAAACUCUAAACUUAAACAAGCUUUAGUUUUUUGCCAGUUUUGUGAUGACGGACAAAACAGCCUCCUGCGAACGUCGGCGUUCUCUACAGAUAAACUGCAUAUAACGCAAAUUCUAUUCUUUGAAGCAGGUGAAAUAUCCAGGCGACUAUAAACUUUUGUCGGUGUCGUUUCUUUGUCCGCCAUAUGCAAAUUAAUAAACACAAUGAAACCGACACGGAAGCUGUCUGUGGAAUGUCAAUCAGUUUUCGCGCCAAAUUUUUAACAAGAUUCAAAUCGCUGCAAGGGAAACAAGUCUGCCUCUCCCCUCCCUCCUCGCCCGCGCCGCCCGCCAUUUUCCCGCCCGCUUUUUUUCGCUCCUUUUCCGCUCGCCUGCUACUAAUAAAACUCAAGUAAAACUAAAG